GUGAAAGAAUGAAGCACAUGUACUAAAAUUGGAACAGUACAGAGAUUAACAUGCUCCCUGCUCUAGGAUGAUAUGCAGAUUUGUGAUGUGUUUGAUAUUUAA
This is a small nuclear RNA of Aethalodelphis obliquidens (Pacific white-sided dolphin), 102 nucleotides long. The record is from RefSeq and is a predicted model, not a curated record. Lineage: Eukaryota; Metazoa; Chordata; Mammalia; Artiodactyla; Delphinidae.